RNAcentral lists this ribosomal RNA (765 nucleotides) under Tolypocladium inegoense. RNAcentral's name for it is "eukaryotic LSU rRNA". It matches the Rfam family "Eukaryotic large subunit ribosomal RNA", at positions 111 to 907 of the family's 3401-position model. The record is from RNAcentral. Lineage: Eukaryota; Fungi; Ascomycota; Sordariomycetes; Hypocreales; Ophiocordycipitaceae.
AAAUUUGAAAUCUGGCCCCCAGGGCCCGAGUUGUAAUUUGCAGAGGAUGCUUUUGGCGCGGCGCCUUCCGAGUUCCCUGGAACGGGACGCCACAGAGGGUGAGAGCCCCGUCCGGUCGGACGCCAAGCCAGUGUAAAGCUCCUUCGACGAGUCGAGUAGUUUGGGAAUGCUGCUCUAAAUGGGAGGUAUAUGUCUUCUAAAGCUAAAUACCGGCCAGAGACCGAUAGCGCACAAGUAGAGUGAUCGAAAGAUGAAAAGCACUUUGAAAAGAGGGUUAAACAGUACGUGAAAUUGUUGAAAGGGAAGCGCUUGUGACCAGACUUGGGCCCGGUGAAUCACCCGGCGUUCUCGCCGGUGCACUUCGCCGGGCCCAGGCCAGCAUCAGUUCGCCGCGGGGGACAAAAGCUUCGGGAACGUGGCUCCCCCGGGAGUGUUAUAGCCCGUUGCACAAUGCCCUGCGGCGGACUGAGGUUCGCGCUCCGCAAGGAUGCUGGCGUAAUGGUCAUCAGCGACCCGUCUUGAAACACGGACCAAGGAGUCGUCUUCGUAUGCGAGUGUUCGGGUGCCAAACCCCUACGCGUAAUGAAAGUGAACGCAGGUGAGAGCUUCGGCGCAUCAUCGACCGAUCCUGAUGUUCUCGGAUGGAUUUGAGUAAGAGCAUACGGGGCCGGACCCGAAAGAAGGUGAACUAUGCCUGUAUAGGGUGAAGCCAGAGGAAACUCUGGUGGAGGCUCGCAGCGGUUCUGACGUGCAAAUCGAUCGUCA